UCCCUCUCAGGGUUGCACCUGGAGAGUUUCCGGUAGUCUACCAGUUUCGACUAAGAGAGGAAGAGACAGGCAGAGGCCUACUCAUUCCAUUCCUAGCUGGACCAGUGACUAGCGAGUGGAAGGCCAUCUGCUACAAGU
This is a small nucleolar RNA of Ornithorhynchus anatinus (platypus), 138 nucleotides long. NCBI's taxonomy places the organism in Eukaryota, Metazoa, Chordata, Mammalia, Monotremata, Ornithorhynchidae. The record is from RefSeq and is a predicted model, not a curated record.